CGUCAGGUGGAUGAGGGGAAGGGGAGGCAGGAGGAGAGACCCGCGGCCGCCGGCGGUCCGAGUGGAGGGGAAUCUGAACUUCAGGAUCCCAUCAUGUUCUAUGUUUGUUCAGGAGGUUCACUUGACCAUGCAGACUUUUGGAUUCCUCUAAGUUCCCAUGUUUGAGGAAGCAUUUGGUGUUGCUGUGCAAAGUGUUGCUGCAGUGGAGGUUCAAGGUUACUGUUUAUUGAUAUGGAUCCCAUCAUACUUUGUUCAUUGUUUGUUCAGGAGUUUGCCCUAAGUCUCCGUGUUUGAGGGCCUAUUCUGUGGAUAUAUUUAUUUGCAGUUUUACUGAUGCAGUAAAUAAAUAGUCUAUGAAAAAAAUCACUAAAUCUGUC
Molecule: long non-coding RNA, 377 nt
Organism: Corythoichthys intestinalis (scribbled pipefish)
Lineage: Eukaryota; Metazoa; Chordata; Actinopteri; Syngnathiformes; Syngnathidae
Exons: 5
Source: RefSeq, a predicted model, not a curated record